CCUACGGGAGGCUGCAGUGGGGAAUAUUGCACAAUGGGCGCAAGCCUGAUGCAGCCAUGCCGCGUGUGUGAAGAAGGCCUUCGGGUUGUAAAGCACUUUCAGCGGGGAGGAAGGCGUUAAGGUUAAUAACCUUGUCGAUUGACGUUACCCGCAGAAGAAGCACCGGCUAACUCCGUGCCAGCAGCCGCGGUAAUACGGAGGGUGCAAGCGUUAAUCGGAAUUACUGGGCGUAAAGCGCACGCAGGCGGUCUGUCAAGUCGGAUGUGAAAUCCCCGGGCUCAACCGGGGAACUGCAUUCGAAACUGGAAGGCUAGAGUGUUGUAGAGGGGGGUAGAAUUCCAGGGGUAGCGGUGAAAUGCGUAGAGAUCUGGAGGAAUACCGGUGGCGAAGGCGGCCCCCGGGACAAAGACUGACGCUCAGGUGCGAAAGCGUGGGGAGCAAACAGGAUUAGAUACCCGGGUAGUC
RNAcentral lists this ribosomal RNA (465 nucleotides) under uncultured Klebsiella sp. Its description in RNAcentral is "bacterial SSU rRNA". It matches the Rfam family "Bacterial small subunit ribosomal RNA", at positions 338 to 795 of the family's 1533-position model. Lineage: Bacteria; Pseudomonadati; Pseudomonadota; Gammaproteobacteria; Enterobacterales; Enterobacteriaceae. The record is from RNAcentral.